CGCGUGGUUCUGAUCUUUCACUUCCAAGGAAACAAAGGAAGGAUGUGAGAGGGGAUCGAUCACUUUCAGAUAAGCAUUCACGGAACCAUGUUACUGAUGCUUCACAAGAAUCACCAGCGGAUCUUUCUCCACAUAGGGAAAAGCAAAAAGCACUACCGGUUUCAGUCUCCUUCAAACAAGCACGCAAGACUGGUUUGCUUACUCAGCAAGAGUUUGGGGAAGAAAUGUCUAAAACUAACAAAGAAGACUGGACGAGGUUUAAAGAGAUGAAUCCUUCCGCAAGUAGUAAUGCAGAGCCAGUGUAUCGUGACAAGAUUAAAGGAG
Molecule: unclassified non-coding RNA, 324 nt
Filed under: Hevea brasiliensis (rubber tree)
Lineage: Eukaryota; Viridiplantae; Streptophyta; Magnoliopsida; Malpighiales; Euphorbiaceae
Source: RNAcentral